GAUGAACGCUAGCGGCAGGCUUAAUACAUGCAAGUCGUGGGGCAGCAUGAGUAGCAAUACUUGAUGGCGACCGGCAAACGGGUGCGGAACACGUACACAACCUUCCGAUAAGUGGGGAAUAGCCCAGAGGAAUUUGGAUUAAUACCCCGUAACAUAUAGAGUAGGCAUCUUCUUUAUAUUAUAGCUUCGGCGCUUAUUGAUGGGUGUGCGUCUGAUUAGGUAGUUGGCGGGGUAACGGCCCACCAAGCCUACGAUCAGUAGCUGAUGUGAGAGCAUGAUCAGCCACACGGGGCCUGAGACACGGGCCCGACUCCUACGGGAGGCAGCAGUAAGGAAUAUUGGACAAUGGGCGAAAGCCUGAUCCAGCCAUGCCGCGUGUGUGAAGAAGGCCUUAUGGUUGUAAAGCACUUUAAGCGAGGAGGAGGCUCUUUUGGUUAAUACCCAAGAUGAGUGGACGUUACUCGCAGAAUAAGCACCGGCUAACUCUGUGCCAGCCGCCGCCGUAA
This 506-nucleotide ribosomal RNA is filed under the name uncultured bacterium. RNAcentral's name for it is "partial 16S ribosomal RNA". It matches the Rfam family "Bacterial small subunit ribosomal RNA", at positions 28 to 523 of the family's 1533-position model. The record is from RNAcentral.